Molecule: long non-coding RNA, 4564 nt
Filed under: Pan troglodytes (chimpanzee)
Lineage: Eukaryota; Metazoa; Chordata; Mammalia; Primates; Hominidae
Description: lincRNA
Source: RNAcentral
CAGCUGUUUGCAAGGGAGCUGGAGAGGCCUCUUCCCCUAGACCUUGAAAUUAGGCUUGAGGAACUGCUCCGGAUUGUCCGUAACAAGCAGAACAGCACGUACCCAGCAAGACUUCCUGUCCUGACGAGGCACGACGCGAGCUGGCACGACCAGGAGGGGCGAGGAAGGAGGGUGCUGGGGGAGUCAGGCUGCACUGGCGGGGGUUGUGGGGGCUGUCUGUGUGUACGUGUGCAGGGGAGUACAUGGCAGAAGUGGGCAUAUUUCAGAGGGGAAACCUAGAGGUGUUUCCUAGAACUGAGAACCUAGAAGUGGCACGUCCUGGAGCUGCAGAGGCGAACCUGCCUGUAUCUCACCCAUGAUGCGUGGGGCCUAGGAGGACAGGGUUGGUCCAGCAGGGCCAUACAGCCAUGGGACAUUGGGCCCUGGCUGCUGUGCCAGAGAGAGCUGGGGGCCGCCGGGCAGACCCUGAGAAGGGAUGUGAGUGCACACCUGCUGGGUGCCUGCCUGGGAUGCUGCGCUCUAGGCUUCGUGAGUAGCCUCAGCUCGGGUGGAGGGGAGUUUGGCUCCUUGAGCCCCCUCCCUGCGCAUGCAGGCAUGCAUGCACAUACGCAGAUGUACAGUGUCCACACACAUAUAUGUAUCCACACACAUCCUUGUGCACACAUAGAUCCAUGCACACACAUGAAUAUACAUAUCAUGAAUACACAUGUGUGUUCAUGCAAGCAUGAACACCCAUACAUACACAUAUCCACACAUGCAUGCAAGCAUGCAACCUAUUCAUGCACACUUGCAUGCCUUCACACACACAUGCAUGCACACAUCCACACACACACUGUCUACAUAUACCAUGUGGAUUUACAGUGCAUCCAUGCCUACAGAAUAUACACACAUGUAUGCACACAUACAUGUUCACACACAUGCACACAUGCCUACGUGUGCAUACACAUGUCCAUGUACUCUUCACAUGCAGGUGCAUAUAUACAUAUGCACUAUCAUACACACAUGCUUUUUGCACACGUAUGUCUACACAUGCAUAUGUAUCACACUGGCAUAUGUAGAAAUGAUGCACCCAUGCUGUGCACACGCCUGUGCAUACUGCGGGCACGCACAGCCUUCCCUGUGCAGAUAACACGAAUCCAUGCACAUUGCACACACGUGUGUAUGCCUGUGCUGCACACAUCUGUCCCUAUGCAUGACACCAGUCAUGCAUGUGCACAAAUGGCUUCGCAUAUAUGGAUGUGUACACACAUAUGCGGCACCUGUGGCCCUGCCCACCCUCCUAGGCUGAGGAGAAGAUGUAUUUCUGGGUUGCUGCUGCAGCCAGCUCUUCCGGGGCUGCGGCUGGGUUCUGCCUCGCCUGCCUGGUCUGCACAGCUCCACCUGGCUCUUGCGGUCAGCCCUCCUCUCCACGCUGUGAGGACAUUUCUCAUUAACUCUUGUGGACCCUGGGCCUGACCAUAUGCUGUCCGCAGGCCUGGAUGCCCUCUGCCUCAUCUUUCCUGGGGCUCGCUUCCUUCAAGACUUGUCCCAUGAUGUUCCUCCUUCAGGAAGCCUCCGUGACCUCCCAGGCUGGAUCUGGGCCACUUUUGCCGGCCUCCUGCAUGCCCCAUGGGGCAUGGCCAUCAUCAGUAACCAUACAUCUCAGCUGUGUCCCAUCCCCACUGCCUGGUCCAGGGCUGGGCUCUCAGCUCACAGAAAGAGCUGAAUGAAGGCCUGGUGGCAGGAUGGGUGCCGUGAAGGGCAGAUGGGCUUGUGGGCCUGGCUCCAGCCUCCUUAGCCGCACUGAUGCUUGCUGGGUGCGGAGUGCAGGGGGUGCCUUCACCUGGUGGCUGCUGGUGCCAGCCCCAGUGCCCCUGGCCAACAGGCCCUUUUCUCAGUUCCAUGGAGUUUGGGGUCAUCAGAUGUGGCUUUAGGCUCCUGCUCAUUCCCUUACUUAUUGUCUGGCAGUGGGGGAGCCUUCUGGCUUCCAGGGCCUCAGUUUCCCCUGUCUGUAAAAUGGGAGCAUUGGACCAGAGCAUUCCGAGGCCCAUGCCAGCCCUAAGUGACCCCCUCCCCCAACUUGGCUGUGAGCUCCUGGGGGUGGGGGUGGCGCCUGCCUGCCCAUCUCUGCCCUCGGUUGGUGUCCGCAGGGGAAAGGGAAGAGGCUGGACUCGGGGAGAGACCCCUCUCCACUCAGCCCUGGUGGGUGCGGGAACCAAGGGAAGCCAGCCCUAUCUUCUUGUCUCAAGACCAAGAGGGCAUGCUUUCUCCCUGGAGCUGAGCUGAGCUUUCUUUCCCUAUGUUUAUUUGAAAUUUCGUUUUUAAAGACAAGUCAGGGAAAAAUGAGGCUUGCUUCUCUCCCUGCCCCUCCCUGAAGAAUUCCAGAAGCUGAUUUGUCUUGUCAGGAUGUGGCAGGGAGCCGUGGCCUGGGCUGGCUCUCUGAGCUGUUGCAUAUUGAUCAGCAUUGAUGGGUUUGGCACAGUCGAGUUCUUACAGAGCUGGCGGAAGUCCCUCUGGAGAAAGAACUGCUUCGGGGACUGGCUUUGAUUUGCAAUGAGUGUAAUAGAUUAAAGCAGUGGGUCAGCAUGUCUUAUUGAGCACCAGCUGUGUACCUCAGCCCUGGCCCUGCUGGGAUCCAAGCUCAGAUCCCCGCCUCCCCCCACCCUCUUGGUUGCCACCGAGCCCCACCUCUGCCUGCCCGCUGCACCUGCUCCAGUCUCCACCUGGCUUCUCCUGCUAGGGGCUGUGCCCUGCCCCCUAGCUGCCUGAGCCUGACAUUCAGGGCCCUCCAGUGCCCAACCUCAACCCACAGCCCUUCACUGGUUCAGUUGUCAUGCAGUCCGCAGACACCAGGAAGCAUCCUCUGUGUGCAGCCCUGGAGAUGUAGAGGUGACGAAGGCAGGGCGGCCCAGAAGACGUCACCUCCUGCUCCACCAUCCUGGGCCUGGGCCUAGCGGGGUAGGCUGGCAGCAGGCCUGCUGCCUGGACUCGGUUCGAGCUGGCUGGGUUUUCCUCUGUGACCUUUCCCAGCCUUGGUGGCCGCUGUGCACACUCCUCAGAAUGACGUCUGCAGAGCUCUCAGCCUGGGGCCUGCCCAUUGCUGGGUGGUUGCAGGAAGGAGGCUACUUGACCCCGUUCCAGCCAAUGAUACCUCCCUGAGGACAAGGGUGAAAUGUGCCGGGAGGCCCACUGCCUGCCUUCCUGCUUGCUUGGGCACAUGUGAGGAUGUGAUGCCCGGAGCAGCAGCAGCUGUCAUGUGACCAGGAGGAGCUGAGGAUGAGGAUGAAAACCAUGGAAGGAAAGAGGGGAGGAAGGUUCUGUAACUUGCGGCUGAACGCGUCCAAGCCAUGAGUUGUCCCCCAAGCUCGUGAGUUGUCCCCAGCUCAAUUCUGCCUCCUUUGGAGAGUGACGUCCCACACACCUGUGCAACCUUGCAUGCCAAAAGGACUUUGCAGACAUGACUGAGGACCUUGCAUGCGGGAGGUGAUCCCCACGACACCUGUGGACCCAGUGUCAUCAGGGUCCUCGUAAGUGAAAGAGGCAAGAGGAUCCCAGAAGAGGAGGUGUGAUGACAGAAGUGGAGGUCAGAGUGACAUGGAGACGGGACCCCUGGCUGCAGGAUGCAGUGCUUCUGGGAGCUGGAGAGGCCAAGAGACAGACUCUGGCCUGGAGCCUUCAGAAGGCACCGGCCCUGCAGACCACUUCAGACUUCUGACCUCCAGGGCCGGAAGAGGAAGCUUGGUGUGGUUCUAAGCAGUGGCAUUUGUGAUCAUUUCUCACCGCAGCCACAGUAGAUGGAGGCAACACCCGUGGGUGUUUGAGGGAUGGAUGAGUGGAAGCAUGCGUGUGGUGGAGGCCACUGCACCGUCCAAUUCCAGACAGUCCCGAGGAACGCCCGCUGGCAGCCCUGCCUCGGCUGUUGAGUCAUUAUGUGAUCUUGGGCAAGUCUGAACCUCUGCUUCACCACCUGUGAAUUCAGGGACAGGACUCAGUGGUCUUUCUCGGUCUUUCCAGGCCCCCAAGUCCUGGAGGGCACUGUGGGAGUGUGAGGUGGAGCCCGGGAGUCCCGCGGAUGGAGAUGAAAAUGCCAGCCCUGCUAGAUCCAGGCGGGAUGGAGUGUGGGGUGUGGGCACAGUGGCUUGUACAGGCCUGGGCUGGGCAGACUUGCCCAGGAGUCUCAGGCCACUGCGGAAGGAGGACGCGUGGCCAGCAGGUGCCACCAGGAGAGGAGAGGAGGGCCAGGCUGAGCUGCAUCUCUGGACUCCAAGGAGAGCUUGGAGAGGUGACUGAAACCCUGCCCCACCCCCAGCCUCUCUCCAUCUGUGGGUCCUUGGGCAAAUUGCCUCAUCUCUCUGAGCCUCGAAUGCGUAGCUUUCAGGACUAACUAGGGUACUGUGUACCAACUGCCUCUGCCAACGCCUCUGCACUGGGCAGCCCUGGGUACCUGGCUUGGGGGAGGAGUAGGCCUGGGAGGAGACUGAUGCUACAUUUCUCUUUAUCUAUCCCUGUAUUGUUUAAUUUGUUCCAAGUGCUUGAGUUACUUUGGCAAAUAGAAACAAUUCUAAUAAAGAGAACUAAGACCUUA